GGGGAUUUAGUUCAGUGGCAUAAGCGCCUGCCUUUUGAGCAGGCAGUCGUGAGUUUAAUCCCCG
Molecule: transfer RNA, 64 nt
Filed under: Cavia porcellus (domestic guinea pig)
Lineage: Eukaryota; Metazoa; Chordata; Mammalia; Rodentia; Caviidae
Rfam family: tRNA
About the family: Transfer RNA (tRNA) molecules are approximately 80 nucleotides in length. Their secondary structure includes four short double-helical elements and three loops (D, anti-codon, and T loops).
Source: Rfam by way of RNAcentral